CAUGUACUCCGUCCGAUUCCGAAUUACUUGUCGUAGGUAUGGAUGUAUCUAGAUGUAUUUUACUUCUAGAUACAUCCAUUUCUGCAACGAGUAAUUUGGAACGGAGGGAGUAGGAA
Molecule: non-coding RNA, 116 nt
Organism: Triticum aestivum (bread wheat)
Lineage: Eukaryota; Viridiplantae; Streptophyta; Magnoliopsida; Poales; Poaceae
Source: Rfam